Molecule: ribosomal RNA, 465 nt
Filed under: Vreelandella stevensii
Lineage: Bacteria; Pseudomonadati; Pseudomonadota; Gammaproteobacteria; Oceanospirillales; Halomonadaceae
Description: partial 16S ribosomal RNA
Rfam family: Bacterial small subunit ribosomal RNA
Source: RNAcentral
CCUACGGGUGGCAGCUGUGGGGAAUAUUGGACAAUGGGGGGAACCCUGAUCCAGCCAUGCCGCGUGUGUGAAGAAGGCCCUCGGGUUGUAAAGCACUUUCAGUGAGGAAGAACGCCUGGUGGUUAAUACCCAUCAGGAAAGACAUCACUCACAGAAGAAGCACCGGCUAACUCCGUGCCAGCAGCCGCGGUAAUACGGAGGGUGCGAGCGUUAAUCGGAAUUACUGGGCGUAAAGCGCGCGUAGGUGGCUUGAUAAGCCGGUUGUGAAAGCCCCGGGCUCAACCUGGGAACGGCAUCCGGAACUGUCAAGCUAGAGUGCAGGAGAGGAAGGUAGAAUUCCCGGUGUAGCGGUGAAAUGCGUAGAGAUCGGGAGGAAUACCAGUGGCGAAGGCGGCCUUCUGGACUGACACUGACACUGAGGUGCGAAAGCGUGGGUAGCAAACAGGAUUAGAUACCCCAGUAGUC